Molecule: ribosomal RNA, 266 nt
Filed under: Lens culinaris subsp. culinaris
Lineage: Eukaryota; Viridiplantae; Streptophyta; Magnoliopsida; Fabales; Fabaceae
Description: partial 18S ribosomal RNA
Rfam family: Eukaryotic small subunit ribosomal RNA
Source: RNAcentral
UUGCAACAAACCCCGACUUAUGGAAGGGAUGCAUUUAUUAGAUAAAAGGUCAACGCAGGCUCUGCCUGUUGCUUUGAUGAUUCAUGAUAACUCGUCGGAUCGCACGGCCCUUGUGCUGGCGACGCAUCAUUCAAAUUUCUGCCCUAUCAACUUUCGAUGGUAGGAUAGUGGCCUACCAUGGUGGUGACGGGUGACGGAGAAUUAGGGUUCGAUUCCGGAGAGGGAGCCUGAGAAACGGCUACCACAUCAGUGACAGCAGCACCUGA